This 616-nucleotide ribosomal RNA is filed under the name uncultured Bacteroidota bacterium. RNAcentral's name for it is "bacterial SSU rRNA". It matches the Rfam family "Bacterial small subunit ribosomal RNA", at positions 62 to 680 of the family's 1533-position model. Lineage: Bacteria; Pseudomonadati; Bacteroidota. The record is from RNAcentral.
UCGAGGGGUAGAGAUCUUCGGAUUUUGAGACCGGCGCACGGGUGCGUAACGCGUAUGCAAUCUGCCUUACACUAAGGGAUAGCCCAGAGAAAUUUGGAUUAAUACCUUAUAGUAUAUAUAUAGGGAUUCCUAUUUAUAUUAAAGUUCCAACGGUGUAAGAUGAGCAUGCGUCCCAUUAGCUAGUUGGUGUGGUAACGGCACACCAAGGCAAUGAUGGGUAGGGGUCCUGAGAGGGAGAUCCCCCACACUGGUACUGAGACACGGACCAGACUCCUACGGGAGGCAGCAGUGAGGAAUAUUGGUCAAUGGGCGCAAGCCUGAACCAGCCAUGCCGCGUGCAGGAUGACGCAUCUAUGGUGUGUAAACUGCUUUUGUACGGGAAGAAACCCUGCCACGUGUGGCAGAUUGACGGUACCGUAGAAUAAGGAUCGGCUAACUCCGUGCCAGCAGCCGCGGUAAUACGGAGGAUCCAAGCGUUAUCCGGAAUCAUUGGGUUUAAAGGGUCCGUAGGCGGUUUUAUAAGUCAGUGGUGAAAUCCGGCAGCUCAACUGUCGAACUGCCAUUGAUACUGUAGGACUUGAAUUAUUGUGAAGUAACUAGAAUAUGUAGUGUAGCG